GUGUCAUGCGUGUCAUCCUUGAUGACCAGCAUACGCAAUGUGCUACUGUAAUUUGAAUUUGGAAAUGACUUGAGUGACGUUUUUUCGACGCACUGGUUAACUCCACCGUAGCAAAUCACAUGACUUUGACAUAACCAAUAAUUACAGUUUAUCGGUAAUUUGUAUAUUUUUCUUUAUUGUACUGUGAUAAUGUCAGUAUCAGUGGACUGCCGUGAUUUAAAAUUGGGUUAGUGCAAUUGACAUGCGCGAAUACAACGCGUAAGGAUCUACUUUCCCCUUUCAUUCACAAAAUUGCGCGUGAUUUUUUUCGCAGAAACGCACGAGAUUUUUAGCGAAUGAAACACUUUACAUUGUUUGAAACUUUUACAAAGUUAGUUUAGCCUUUUGAACGAUUGAUUCAAAAUGUAAACAAAAAUGCAUGAAAAGCGAUAGACUUUUAAAAAAAAAUGAGUUAUCUAUAAUUGAUAUAUUAAUACAUGACUAACAUUAUUAUAUCGUCCAUGAUGUUCCAAUCGAGUUUUAUGCAUACAAUACCAAUCAUAGCCGGGUGCUGUUCCAAGUAGUUUUCUUUUUCUGUUUCUUGAGAAGUAUUUGUUUUACCUGUUCAGUCACUAUAAAGUGUUACAAUUCAUAUUUAAACGCAACACAUAAAUAGUGACCAAAAAGGUACCGCUAUCGCAUGAGAGAAGCUAGAAAAUAAUGGUCAAUUUAAAGACAGAUAUUCAUAGAACAAAAAACCAAAAAGUGAACUUAUUCAUUUGCGGAUCUACAUGUAGGAUAAAUUUUAAAAAGGGGGGUAACCGGGGUCACCAAACUAUACAUGUAUAAAGGUCUGCUUUGACCUGAAUUGUAGCCUUUAUAAGCUAAGAGGUGACUGACACGGGUCGCCUUCCCUAAAUUCGCAUAAGAAAUUAAAGGUAACCACAGGGACUGUAAACUCCAAUUUUCAUAAUUUCUGGUCCGUGUUGAAAAUAGAUGAACAAGACUUUGACAAAAGCAAGAAUUAUAUUAAGCUAAAAGUUUAGUGACGUCUAUUAAAAUGUUUGAAAUAAUUAUGAAGUAGACAAGAAAUUAGCUUGUUCAGAUAAUUUACAAAUAACUUUAACAGUCACUCAGCUCCUAAAAUGUCUCCUCACAUAGUCCAAAUAAUCAUGAUGAAAAAAUAUAAUAGACUUUCAAGACGUCAUAAUUAUUUGGACUACUCCCCAGUGCUUUCUUAAAAUUAUUUGAAAUCAAUGUGAUCGUUUUCAUGAUGAACACUGUCACUGAGCGAAUAAUGACAAGAUAAAUGUUAUUGUAUCCACUAAACUAAGUAAAAUAUAAUUAUAAUAACUUGUCGUUGAACUUAAAAAUGAUGAUCGAUGAACAAUCUGCUUAUUCAUAUCGUAUCAUUCUAAUGUUCUGACUUACUAUGCUCGAGGGGGGUCAUGGAUGCAUGGAUAGGACCUUUAUCGGGACUUCGGGAUCAGGUGUUUUUAAGCUCGUGAUUUCGGGAUGUCGGGAUUUACUUUAUUUAAAAUCGGGACCUCGUGAUUUCGUGUUUUUAAACGGGCCGGGAUUUCGGGAUCAGGAACCCUCCUAUCCCCCUCUAUGUUGAUGCUUUGUGAAAAAUACAGAAAUUUUACUUACCGGUAUGCUACCAUUAUAUUUGCCAUCGUUAGAGUCAUGUCCAAAGCAGAAUAUUAAUGAAACACAUGCAAUAAUUCCUUCAAAUCUUUAACUUUGUGCAAGAGAACGCCAUGUUUACUGCACUGUGACAAAAUUUAAAUGACGUAAUGCAGCCUGUGACGUCAAGUGUGAUUCGCCGUGAUCCAACGCGAAAAAGAAGUUCGUUUGUUAUUUUCUCUAUUAUUGUAGUGAUUUUUAAUUUUUUUUAAAUUACCGAUAAACAGAAUAAAGGACUUUUUGUUUUUGAUACUGACUUUAUCACAGAAAAUAUCAGGCUCGCCCUUCGGGCUCACCUGAUAUUUUACUGUGAUAAAGUCAGUAUCAAAAACAAAAAGUCCUUUAUUCUAUAUAUAUAGGAGCAAAAUAUACCUUUAUAAGUAACGAAUUGUCGCAUAAAAACAAAAUACACGGGCAAUGACAAAUUUCACGAAGUCUAUAGUCUAUUUGAUUUUUUUACAAAGUCC
Molecule: long non-coding RNA, 2132 nt
Filed under: Mytilus galloprovincialis (Mediterranean mussel)
Lineage: Eukaryota; Metazoa; Mollusca; Bivalvia; Mytilida; Mytilidae
Source: RNAcentral